RNAcentral lists this long non-coding RNA (563 nucleotides) under Macaca mulatta (Rhesus monkey). RNAcentral describes it as "lncRNA (ENSMMUG00000059378.1)". Lineage: Eukaryota; Metazoa; Chordata; Mammalia; Primates; Cercopithecidae. The record is from RNAcentral.
GGGUCUGAUCCCCACGGGGGCCCUCCCCACAGUGCUCAGGCACUUCCUUGUCAGCAACAGGUGCGGAACCAAUGGAGAAAUCACCACGACCUUGGCUAAGCCCCCCUCUGGAGAUGGCGGCUGCGGGAAGAAGACACACCUGCCCAGGGCCCCUCCUUGCUCUCAGCUCACCUGGAUAGCUGAGCUCCUCCUCCAGGGCUCACGGCCUCUGCUGACCUCCUGGACCCAGCCAUCAUCUUCCCUGGCACACUGCUGACAUCUCACCAUCUGGUGGAGAACUUCUGGGCAUCUGUCUCUGAACUUGACAAUGACACUGCCCCCACCCCAAACGCCAAGCAAAGCUUCCAUCGCGGUGCCCUCGUGGGUGUCUUCAUCCCCCUGGACUCACAUCAGCCAGAGAAAUCCUGGUUAUUCCUGAAUCUGCAGUGACAGUUUUUACACAAGCAAGGGGCAGGUGCUGGUGCAGGACAUGAAGCCUGCGGCCAGACAGUGCACAACAGGAACCUUUUACUCCACCAUUGCCACUGAGGUGUGAGUCCCCACCAUGCCCCACAGACUGUAGC